Pan troglodytes (chimpanzee) is the source of this 3812-nucleotide long non-coding RNA. RefSeq lists it as uncharacterized. The record is from RefSeq and is a predicted model, not a curated record. The transcript has 3 exons. Lineage: Eukaryota; Metazoa; Chordata; Mammalia; Primates; Hominidae.
AUGGAAAUGUCUGUUAUCAGGGCCUUUAGGGUGUCCUGUGAUGGUGGGAAGGGGAUGCUAGAACGGGGCCAGGAACAGCAGGAGGUUUGAGGCUGCAUUGGAGAAGGACAGAGCUGGGCUCUUGAAUCCUAAGGCUUUCAUCUCAGGCAUGAAUCUGGUGACAUCAGGACAUUCUCCAGAGCCCAUUGGUACAGGCAGAUUAGGGCAGGUUUGAGAGAUUCUAGAAUCAGGUAGAUAGUACAGUUUGGCAAGUCUAGAUAAUUGAGCUUAGAAAUCAAGCAAUCCAGCCCCUCACUUUACAGUUAAGGAAAUGGAGGUUCAGAGAGAUUCUGAGCUCUUCCCCAUCUUACAUCUGGAAGAGGCCAGGCCAGGGCUCAGAUCCAGGGCCUUUCAUGAAGCAGCCAGGGCCACAUGCCUGGAUCACAGCUGGAAAGCUAUGCCCUAGCAGGGCUGCUGUUUGCAGCUGUUCAGGCCUUGCCUUGCUUUUUAUAGACUGAAGUAUGAGCAACACUGCCUGGGGGUGUGCAGUGCACACACUGCACCACUGUCCGGGGAGGCUCUGAGUCAGAUCAAGGCAAAGGCCUGAGAGCUCCCAUCAGAGAGGUCCCAUCUCUUGGGCUGGGCUGGGUAUGUGGUGAAAAUGGAGGCAGGAGGGUGACUCGGAACCUGGACAGCAGUGAUGGGUCCCCAUCCAUGAACACUGGAAUUUAGGGUGGAAGACUGGCAUUUGGAAAGGCAGGCUGACUUCGCUGGACUGACAGCUGGACAGAGAGCUGGCUCGGCCUUCCUUGGUGUGGGAACCGCCUGGGAGACUCAGCAUAAAGGAGCAGAGGCAGAUCGCUCCUGCAGGCAUGUGGUUCCCAAAACAGAAAAGGAGACAGAGUUCCUUUUAAGUAUGGCAACACUUAUAUGGCAGCUAGGACAAGAGAAACUCGAAGUAUUGAACAAAAUGGAAUGGACUCGCGCAGCCUUGAAGCAGUCUAUUGCGCAGCCAAUGGACUCCAGAUCAUCAAUAACACUCAGGGAUUGGAAGCCUGCAUUUGCACAGGUAUUGGAGGUUCCCUCGGCUCCGCAGGUGGCCAGAUGCUUCACCCUCCACUCCACUGAGGGGGACAAGGCCCCAGAAGCCAACACCCUAGGAGGAGGCAGAGAACCACGAUGUCCUAAGUGCCUUGGUACCAGGCAUUCUUUACGUGUCAUCUCGUGAUCUCACUGGCAUCCUCUGCUGACCCUGUGAUGUAAGGAUUAUUAUACCCAUUCUGCAAAUGAGCAAACUGAGGCCCAGAAAGGUGAAAUAAGUUGCUCAAGGACAAAGUGUCCAGUGGCAGAACUUAGACACACACAGGUGUGGCUCCAAAGCCCAUGAGCUGCCCAUUGUGGCUGCCGCUUUUUCACUCUUUCCUGCCUUUGACAUUCUCUGUCUCGUCCUCUGAUUCAGAGGAAGCUGCAGGGACCCUGAAAGUUAGUGUCCAGGUUGUGCACUGCACAAAUCCAGGGGCUUUAUCUGAAUCAUGAUAGUGCCCUCAUUUCCACUGCUAAUCCUUCCACCUCUGCCCUUCACUCCAGCCCUCCUGCGGGGCCUGGCUGCAUCCUCUGCUCUCUCUCUCCCAGCUGCAGAAUCAGUCUCCUUAAUUCCUUCCAGUCUUAAAGACAUUUUUAAUCCUUUCCUCUUAACAAAUUCAAUUCCUCAAUCUUCCUGUUUUCUUUCACUAAAAAAAAGGACUUCUGCAAAGAAAAGUUGGCAUUCCUCUUCUUGGUCUCCUAUUCUUAACUCUUUGAAAUCUGCCCUUGGUUUUCACCCCUGUAGAAACUCUCUCUCUUCGUUUCUGAGCGAGAACAGCAGUGGUCCAGGUGAGUCACAGUGCUACUUCUCCUUAAAUUCUUGCAUCCUUGGCCUAUUGCAGGCACCUCUUUUUUGGGGCAAGAGAGAGAAGAAAGGAGCCCUUGGGGUCCCUCCCCAUUUCUCUCUCAGGCACACUCUCUUAAGUGUCUCCUUGCCCUGCUGGAAUAGAUUUCUCUGGCAAUUGUUCUAUGUCCUAAGCUGCAGCAGAGGCACACAUGAGGCUCCCAGCCCUUUACUUCUCCAGUCUUCAGGGAGGGGGAUAGCAGCCCAGCUCUCACCUCCAUCAGGAGAAAGCGUGGGAGCAGCAGCCAUCCAUCAAGAACCAACUCCCCAGGAGGCCCAUCCUCCUCCUCACUUACCAGUCAGCUUAUUGUGGUUGAUUGCGUUGGACUUCUCUAGAAGUUUGGUUGUCAGGCUCCAAGUGUCAGCAGCCCACUUUAGGAUGCGGACUCUUUGGAAAGUCCUGUUUUCAGCUGUGCGGUGUCUAUUCCUGGGGAACAGGACACAUUUCACUCAACCAAGGUCAUACUUAUAUGGGAAUCAUUCAUGUAGUUAUUGUAUGAUCUGUUGAUAGCAUCAGCUGCUUGAGAGAGUAAGCUGUGCUAUAGCACACUUAGUCUCUUACAGGUCUCCUACAAUGCUAUCUUGCAUGAAAAAAUGCAUGGUAAGUGCCAAGGGAAGGCGGCAUGGAUCCCAGCGGAUCAGAUCCACUCUGGAUUACGUUGGCUUCAGUUUUGACUCGCUGCAUAUGUAAUGUAAUGGUAAUGGCAAGAAAAAUGAUGAUGAGCACCAGGAAGCUGAAUCUCUGAAAGGUAUCAGGCAAAGGUUUUAUUAACAUCAUUAUUAUUGUUAUUAUUAAGCUUUUUAUCUCGGGAUGAUUGUGGAUUUACAUGCAGUUGAAAGAAAUAUCCUACUGUGGUAACAUGCCUCAAAGCUCUACUAUGCUUUUUUUUUCUUUUUUUUUCUGAGACAGAGUCUCUCUGUUGCCCAGGCUGGAGUGCAUUGGCAUGAUUUUGGCUCACUGCAACCACCACCUCCCGGGUUCAAACAAUUCUCCUGCCUCAGCCUCUUGAGUAGCUGGGAUUACAGGAACGUGCCACCAUGGCUGGCUAAUUUUUGCAUUUUUAGUAGAGACAGGGUUUUGCCAUAUUGGCCAGGCUAGUCUCAAACUCCUGACCUCAUGAUCUGCCCGCCUCAGCCUCCCAAAGUGCUGGGAUUACAAGCAUGAGCCACUGUGCCUGGCCUCUACUAUCAUAUUUUGAUCAGGAUAUUAACAAUUCUAUGUCAUGAUCCAGAACAUUUGGUCACCACAAAGAACCCUCCUGUUGUCUUUUUAGAGCCUCGUCCGAUCCUUCCCUCUCCCACCUAAUUCCUAACCCCUGGCAAGCACUACUCUGUUUUAUUUUUAUCAUUUCAUCACUCUAGGAAUGUUGUAUAAAGGGAACCAUAUAGUACAACUUUUUACAUGUGGCUUUUCUCACUCAGUAUAAUUCUCUGGAGAUUCGUGCAGGCUUUAUGGGUAACUGUGGUACCUUCUUUUUCAUUGCUGAGUAGUAUUCCAUGAUGGAGGCACUGAGUGUGUUUAGCCAUUCACGCAUCGAAGGACAUCAGUUGUUUCCAGCAACUAUUACUAAUAAAGUUGCUAUGAACAUUAGCGUACAGGUCUGAGUGUGUGUGUGAACAUAAAUCUUCAUUUCCCUGAGAUAUAGGCAAAAGGAUUUUCACCUUCAGUGCAGCCGUUGGGGAGAGAGAUGUCUUAUAGUGCCUGAAAACCAAGAAAAAUAACUUCUGAGAAAAAGAAGAAAGAACAGGAAGAACCAAAUAACGUGUCAACCUCCUCAUGUUGUGAUGGUGCAGAAAAAAACCCACAAAAACCAUAUUGCUGAGUUCAUUUGUAUUUCACAGUCUACAUCUCAGUAUUCUCUUCAUCUAUGCAGACACAAAUGGGAAUAAAAAUAGUUAGAGAAGC